GGGCCCGUAGCUCAGCCAGGAUAGAGCGCUGGCCUUCGGAGCCAGAUGCCCCGGGUUCGAAUCCCGGCGGGCCCGCCA
This 78-nucleotide transfer RNA is filed under the name Thermococci archaeon. RNAcentral's name for it is "tRNA-Arg". It matches the Rfam family "tRNA". Rfam says of the family: Transfer RNA (tRNA) molecules are approximately 80 nucleotides in length. RNAcentral also lists the same sequence under 1 other name. Lineage: Archaea; Methanobacteriati; Methanobacteriota; Thermococci. The record is from RNAcentral.